UACAGAGGUCCCAAGCGUUGUUCGGAUUCACUGGGCGUAAAGGGUGCGUAGGUGGCUUGGUAAGUUUGAUGUGAAAUCUCCGGGCUUAACCCGGAAAUGGCAUUGAAUACUAUUGAGCUGGAGGUUUGGAGGGGGGACUGGAAUUCUCGGUGUAGCAGUGGAAUGCGUAGAUAUCGAGAGGAACACCAGUGGCGAAGGCGAGUCCCUGGACAACACCUGACACUGAGGCACGAAAGCUAGGGGAGCAAACAGG
RNAcentral lists this ribosomal RNA (253 nucleotides) under uncultured bacterium. RNAcentral's name for it is "partial 16S ribosomal RNA". It matches the Rfam family "Bacterial small subunit ribosomal RNA", at positions 524 to 776 of the family's 1533-position model. The record is from RNAcentral.